GGAUAUCUCGGCUCCCGCAUCGAUGAAGAACGUAGCGAAAUGCGAUACUUGGUGUGAAUUGCAGAAUCCCGUGAACCAUCGAGUCUUUGAACGCAAGUUGCGCCCGAUGCCUUCAGGCUGAGGGCACGUCUGUUUGGGCGUCACGCAUCUCGUCAACGCCUC
RNAcentral lists this ribosomal RNA (162 nucleotides) under Primulina sinovietnamica. RNAcentral describes it as "5.8S ribosomal RNA". The stretch from base 1 to 143 matches the Rfam family "5.8S ribosomal RNA". Rfam says of the family: 5.8S ribosomal RNA (5.8S rRNA) is a component of the large subunit of the eukaryotic ribosome. It is transcribed by RNA polymerase I as part of the 45S precursor that also contains 18S and 28S rRNA. Functionally, it is thought that 5.8S rRNA may be involved in ribosome translocation. Lineage: Eukaryota; Viridiplantae; Streptophyta; Magnoliopsida; Lamiales; Gesneriaceae. The record is from RNAcentral.